Long non-coding RNA from Mastomys coucha (southern multimammate mouse), 1330 nucleotides. RefSeq lists it as uncharacterized. The transcript is spliced from 2 exons. NCBI's taxonomy places the organism in Eukaryota, Metazoa, Chordata, Mammalia, Rodentia, Muridae. The record is from RefSeq and is a predicted model, not a curated record.
GUUCAGUGAGCAUGAGAUCCUCGUAUAGCAAAGACUGCUUUAUUCCUGGCGGUCAGUACAAUUAAUAAGCGCUGUUCCCAAAGAGCUCGGGGACUCUUCAGAUUGCUGGACCACAGGGAGAUGGACAAAACCUGACUGGAAUGCAGCCAAUCCUGCUUUCUGGGAAAUGAAGCCACAGCCACUGAGAAGAAAAGAUACACCUUCAGAAUUCUACGUGCCCCACCAGGAGCCCAGAAAACAGUCAGUACUAGUAUUCACACAAGCACCGAAGACAUGGCCCCAACAAACACCAAGGUUGGAAAUUAUAGUAUUGAGUUAUGGUAGGUAAGCAUUUUAAGAUCCGGUCGUGGUGUAGGCCUAUAAUCCUAGUGAGAGUAAAUUGAAACUCAAGGACCUGAGCUGGGCGUAUCAGUAGUCUGAGGUCAACUUUCACAGCAUGGAACGGGCCUAAGCAAAUUGCCUGUAAUCCUUGCUACUCUGGAGGCUGCGGCAGAAAGGUGAGAUCAAAGCCUGCUUGUGCGUGUGCAGAAUGAGUUCAUGCCACUCAAGAAGACCCUGUCUCGGACAUAAAAAGAGGGCUGGGGGUUGUGCCCAUCACCCCAGGUUCAGGUCUCAGUAACAAGAGGAAAUAAAACUCAAAACCAAAACCAAAACCAGAACCAAGCCGAUCUUUAUCGUCCCCUGCUGCAAUUGCUUAUUCUAGGCUGAGUCUGACAUUGUUCUAAGUUUGUUUUCUGUUAUCUCUGUGUGCUGACUUGGAAGACAUUCUCAUGGAGGAGCCCAAAGGAGAGUUGACACAAAAGACAUUUCUGCAAUUAACAACAACAAGAGUAAGCCCUGCUUUGCCCUUUGCUACCCAACAGACUUGGACAGAGUCUGAGCAGGAUACCCGAUUCACAAGAAUUUCCUGAUGAUCUGGCUGGCUUGAUUAGCGAAUGCAAAAAGCAAACUCAACAUUGUCUGGACUGAAAGGCUCUGACAUUAAAAUCUCCAAGUCCUCGGACGUUUUUCUGUUGAGGAACCGAGUUACUGUGUCCUUAAAAGUAUCCUCUUGUUAACGGCAUACCUUCACAACCUACAAAAACAUACACAAGUACCCUUACACUGGAAUUUGGGGUGAGGGAGAGGGAAUGAAUGAGGUGCCUCAUUGGCUACGGGCACUCGCUGUACAAGUGGUCAAUCCGAGUUGGAUCCCUGGGACCCGUACAAAGAGAACACACACCACAAGUUGUCCUCAGACUGCUACCUGCACGUGAUAUCAUUUGUGCAUGUGCACAUGUACACACUACAUUUUUUUAAGCUAAAAAAUAAAUUACACCCCUCUGUCAUA